RNAcentral lists this ribosomal RNA (253 nucleotides) under uncultured bacterium. RNAcentral's name for it is "partial 16S ribosomal RNA". It matches the Rfam family "Archaeal small subunit ribosomal RNA", at positions 474 to 727 of the family's 1478-position model. The record is from RNAcentral.
UACCAGCACCCCGAGUGGUCGGGACGAUUAUUGGGCCUAAAGCAUCCGUAGCCGGUUUUACAAGUCCUCCGUUAAAUCCAGCUGCUUAACAGAUGGGCUGCGGAGGAUACUAUAAGACUAGGAGGCAGGAGAGGCAAGCGGUACUCAGUGGGUAGGGGUAAAAUCCGUUGAUCCAUUGAAGACCACCAGUGGCGAAGGCGGCAUCCUGGACCGAGAUUGACGCUGAGGCGCGAAAGCCAGGGGAGCAAACGGG